Molecule: transfer RNA, 73 nt
Filed under: Canis lupus dingo (dingo)
Lineage: Eukaryota; Metazoa; Chordata; Mammalia; Carnivora; Canidae
Rfam family: tRNA
About the family: Transfer RNA (tRNA) molecules are approximately 80 nucleotides in length. Their secondary structure includes four short double-helical elements and three loops (D, anti-codon, and T loops). Further hydrogen bonds mediate the characteristic L-shaped molecular structure. tRNAs have two regions of fundamental functional importance: the anti-codon, which is responsible for specific mRNA codon recognition, and the 3' end, to which the tRNAs corresponding amino acid is attached (by aminoacyl-tRNA synthetases). tRNAs cope with the degeneracy of the genetic code in two manners: having more than one tRNA (with a specific anti-codon) for a particular amino acid; and 'wobble' base-pairing, i.e. permitting non-standard base-pairing at the 3rd anti-codon position.
Source: Rfam by way of RNAcentral
ACCUGGCUGGCUCAUCUGGGAGAGCAUGUGACUCUGGAUCUUGGGGUCAUGAGUUCAAGACCCAUGUUGGGUG